RNAcentral lists this transfer RNA (73 nucleotides) under Caenorhabditis briggsae. RNAcentral's name for it is "tRNA-Phe (GAA) (tRNA-Phe-GAA-4-1)". It matches the Rfam family "tRNA". From Rfam's summary of the family: Transfer RNA (tRNA) molecules are approximately 80 nucleotides in length. Their secondary structure includes four short double-helical elements and three loops (D, anti-codon, and T loops). Lineage: Eukaryota; Metazoa; Nematoda; Chromadorea; Rhabditida; Rhabditidae. The record is from Rfam by way of RNAcentral.
GCCUUGAUAGCUCAGUUGGGAGAGCGUUAGACUGAAGAUCUAAAGGUCACCAGUUCGAUCCUGGUUCAGGUCA